ACUCCGUACGGAGGCAGCAGGAUUGGGGAAUAAUUGGCACAAUGGGCGCAAGCCUGAUGCAGCCCAUGCCGCGUGUGUGAAGAAGGCCUUCGGGUUGUAAAGCACUUUCAGUCGUGAGGAAGGUAGUGUAGUUAAUAGCUGCAUUAUUUGACGUUAGCGACAGAAGAAGCACCGGCUAACUCCGUGCCAGCAGCCGCGGUAAUACGGAGGGUGCGAGCGUUAAUCGGAAUUACUGGGCGUAAAGCGCAUGCAGGUGGUUUGUUAAGUCAGAUGUG
Molecule: ribosomal RNA, 275 nt
Filed under: uncultured bacterium
Lineage: Bacteria
Description: partial 16S ribosomal RNA
Rfam family: Bacterial small subunit ribosomal RNA
Source: RNAcentral